UUUCUGUUGCUGGUGCCAGAGGCACCAGCAGGGGAGGUGGGGGUGGGGAGAGAAAGACAGACGCACUCUUAGCUUACAUCCCAGGAAGUCUGUCUUCAGAUAUGGCUGGAUGCAGGGACACAGAUGGACUUUGCUGUCAUGGCAGAGACUGCUGGUAGCCCAUGCUUACAUCAUGCCAGCUUGUCAAGCCAAGCAGAAGCAUCUCUGUAACAGGCCCAUCAAGAUCUGAUGGGCUUACGCCCUCGGUGGCGUGACCACUGGUUCCAGAAGAGAGAAGAAUGAACUUCAGAACAGGAUGAUCUCCUCGGCCACACUCAACACAGCACCGAAUCUGUGCAUCUCAAGCCCAUCCCAGCCCCACCUCCAGCCCCUCUCCAGGGAAGAAACCUCCUGUCAUUCCACCUUGCCCUCCCAGAGUUACCCUGACUCAGGUGUCGGGCAGCAGAACCAGCUGCAGACAUACAAAGAGCAACUUUUUCCGCUGAGGGAAAGCAGCCUGUGCCUCUGGGGCCUUGCCAGGAUGGAAUCCAAGCUUGGAGACAGCAGCCUCUACACUGUCCGGGCCAAUACCUGCCAGGAGGGAAAUGAGAAACUCUCGCUGGGAACUGCGUGGCUCUGCUCCGAGACCUCUGGCCACAAAUGACUGCUUAUCAUUUGUGGGCUGGUCCCAGCAGGGGGAAGCAGAGCCUGAUCCCUCUUGUCUAGAGCCAUUUCCAGUGCAGGAGGCCCUGGUUUUGUCCAGGGACACUGCAGGUCUGUGGGAGAAAGAGAGGCAUGUGUCCCAGCCCCAGGCCUGGCCUCUGUGGGUGGAGAUAAAGAGAUCAGAUUCUCUUGGAGACCUCUUCCUGUUCCCCAAGUGCUUGCCAAAGCUCCAAAACAGCUCUAUUCAGGGUGAUAAGGGGGUGACAGAGCCAAAGGCCCCAGGGACAGCCCCAGCCAGAUGGUAGAUGGCCUCAGCCUGAGACAGUGAGGGAGGAGUGGAAUCGGACCCAUUCAUCCUGACAUGCAAGAGCCUUGGACAAGGAGGAAGCAGCUGGGCUCCAGGCUGCCUUCUGAAUCCUAUGUCCACAGUGAUUAUUUUAAAUUAUUAAAAAUUACAUAUAAUAAGAGUGUGUGUGUGUGUGUGUGUGUGUGUGUGUGAUGUAGAGGUCAGGACAACUUUCAAGAGUUGGUUCUCUUCUUCCGUCAUGUGUAUACUGGGGGUUGAACCCAAGGUUUAAUGCUUUGCAGCAAACAUCUUUACAUCAGUAGCCUCGGAUGACUUUAAAUGCUUGCAGGGAAUGGAGUGAUGGCUAGGCAGUUAAGAGUGCUUGCUGCACAAUCAUGAGGACUGGAGUUGAUCCCAGUGCCCAUAUGACAAGGUAGGCAGCCCCCCAAAAUGUUUUUAACUCCAGCUCCAAGGAAUCUGUGCCUUCUGGCUCUCUCUCCCUCACACACACACAUAUACAUGAACACCUGCUCCCAUAUACUCAUAUAGACACACAAACAUAAAUAAAACAAAUCUUUUUUUAAACUAAAGAAUAUUUGCAGCAGAUUGGGGUUAUGAAUUCAUAGUCUCUUAGAGCCCUGAAUCCAGAAGGCCACUCCCCCAAUACAAGGAGCCAUCAAGGCCUCUAUGAUUUAUCCAUAGAGAAGCUCAGGCACUGCCCGCUCCACAUGCUUUCUGAAGAAGCCUUGAAGGAAUGAUACUGUUACAGACUAAAUGUGCUACUUGGCUUCCAGAUUCCCAGGUUGGAGUCCCAUCACUACUGCUUCAGAAUGUGGCCUUAUUAGCAAGA
Long non-coding RNA from Meriones unguiculatus (Mongolian gerbil), 1778 nucleotides. RefSeq lists it as uncharacterized. Lineage: Eukaryota; Metazoa; Chordata; Mammalia; Rodentia; Muridae. The record is from RefSeq and is a predicted model, not a curated record. The transcript is spliced from 3 exons.